Molecule: ribosomal RNA, 258 nt
Filed under: uncultured Gammaproteobacteria bacterium
Lineage: Bacteria; Pseudomonadati; Pseudomonadota; Gammaproteobacteria
Description: partial 16S ribosomal RNA
Rfam family: Bacterial small subunit ribosomal RNA
Source: RNAcentral
UCGGAUUAGCUAGUUGGUGNGGUAAUGGCCUACCAAGGCGANGAUCCGUAGCUGGUUUGAGAGGAUGAUCAGCCACACUGGGACUGAGANANGGCCCAGACUCCUACGGGAGGCAGCAGUGGGGNAUAUUGGACAAUGGGCGCAAGCCNGAUCCAGUCAUGCCGCGUGUGUGAAGAAGGCCCUAGGGUUGUAAAGCACUUUCAGCGAGGAGGAAAGGUGAUUGUUUAAUACGCAAUUGCUGUGACGUUACUCGCAGAA